AUGGUACUUGACCUCAUAUGUUCUCUAUCGAGUGAAGAAAACUUCGUUACUAUAUGGGAUGGCUCUAAGAAAAACAAGAACAAUUCAGAUAUAAUGGUCAGGUUAUCCUUUCAAAAUAGCAUGUCAGACCUCACCACUCAUCGGGUUGAUGCCACAAGUAUGUCAAAGUUGAGGUCUGUUACUCUGUUUAGAACUGAUGAUGAUCUGAUCCGGUCUCUUUCAAGCCUCCAACUGCUGCGUGUGUUGGACUUAUCACGUUGUGAUCUUCGGAGAAGUAGCUGCCAAAUUGAUCUUAGGUGUGUUGAGAAAUUAUUACACCCGAGGUACCUAGGGCUACUAGAUACACUGGUUGACCCUCUCUCCAUUGAAAUAGGAAAACUUCAACUUUUGCAAACAUUGGACAGCGGAACGGGUGAGGUGCCAUCAAGUGUUGUUCGGCUUGGAAAGUUGAUGUGCCUAUAUGUUUAUUCAAGCAUGAUAUUGCCGGUUGGGAUAGAGAACUUGGUGUCCUUAGAAGAGUUGAGUGUUGUGACAUUGGAUGGUAAUAAUGCCAUUGAGAAAGAGCUAGGGAAGCUGGUGGAGCUGAGGGUGCUUCGCAUUUCAUGGGAGGGAGACGACGAGAGUGUGUGUAAUUCUUUGUUGAUGUCCUUGGCCAAUUUGCAGAAAUUGCGUACCCUAGAGAUUUAUCAAUAUGGGGAUGCAAGUUUCGAUGCCAGCUGGGACAGCUGGGUGCCCCCUCCACACCUCCAAGCCCUUUGGUUUGAUAGUUGUACCUCAACAUUGCCUAGAUGGAUUAAUUCAUCAUUGCUUCCCGUCCUCUCCCACAUGUUUAUAAAGGUGGACAUGGUGAUGCCGGAGGUCGACAUUCAGAUCCUUGGGAAAUUGCCCGCUCUUUGUUUUCUCAACAUGUCUACAUGGAGAGCCCAGUACACUACUAUCGAAUGGUUCAUCGUUGGCGAUGAUGCAUUCCCUUGCCUGAGAGAGUGUAUGCUCUAUAAUUUCCAGACGGGGCCAUCUAUGUUUCCACAAGGAUCUAUGCCCGGGCUUGAAUAUAUUUACUUCUGUGCCCGAGCAUCGCACAUCACCGGUGGUGACUUGGAUGUCGACGUGCGGCACCUCCCUUCUCUACAGAAGGUCACGGUUCAUCUUUGGUCUGAGCAACACUGCUUGCCAGCAGUACAGAAAGUGGCUGAUAUGUUGGAGCUCACAUUGGACGCCCAUCCUAACCAGCCCACCCUUCAUUGCCAGCGGAUUUGUUUACCUGAAUAA
Molecule: ribosomal RNA, 1269 nt
Filed under: Triticum aestivum (bread wheat)
Lineage: Eukaryota; Viridiplantae; Streptophyta; Magnoliopsida; Poales; Poaceae
Description: partial small subunit ribosomal RNA
Source: RNAcentral